UAAGACCGGAGUUGAUGAACAUUUUUCAGUCUGAAGACUCUUUAGAUCUGCAUCGGUGAGAGUUCUGCUCUUCUUACCUCUUCCUACCUGCUUUUGUUGCUGUGAUUUAUUCCAGGAAACCGGUUACCUUUCUCUCCAGGCUUCGACUCAACUCUUUGGACUGUUUGAAGAAACUAUAAACAUGAAGAUCUCUAUCUUUGCUGGUGUUCUGCUGCUCUCUGUUGCCAUGCUCUCUGUGGAUGGACUAGAUCCAAGAGUUCAGAAGUUCAUAAAUCAGCAUAUCAACCAGAACAUGGCUCCUAACCGCUGUGACGCCGUAAUAACCCAGAAAAAAAUCAGUCAAACCAACAGCAAUAAGUGUAAGGACGUAAACACCUUCAUCAGUGCUACGUAUGCUGCCGUCAAACCCG
Molecule: long non-coding RNA, 410 nt
Organism: Perca flavescens (yellow perch)
Lineage: Eukaryota; Metazoa; Chordata; Actinopteri; Perciformes; Percidae
Exons: 3
Source: RefSeq, a predicted model, not a curated record